AUGUUUGCAAAUGAUGACAGUAUCUUUCCCCGUCUUAUCGACAAAUGAGGAAACAACUGCUUCUAUUCAAGCCAGUUUGUCUGAUGCAAAUUU
Molecule: small nucleolar RNA, 93 nt
Organism: Dreissena polymorpha
Lineage: Eukaryota; Metazoa; Mollusca; Bivalvia; Myida; Dreissenidae
Product: small nucleolar SNORD12/SNORD106
Exons: 1
Source: RefSeq, a predicted model, not a curated record